RNAcentral lists this transfer RNA (71 nucleotides) under Loxodonta africana (African savanna elephant). It matches the Rfam family "tRNA". From Rfam's summary of the family: Transfer RNA (tRNA) molecules are approximately 80 nucleotides in length. Their secondary structure includes four short double-helical elements and three loops (D, anti-codon, and T loops). Lineage: Eukaryota; Metazoa; Chordata; Mammalia; Proboscidea; Elephantidae. The record is from Rfam by way of RNAcentral.
GCACUGGUGGUUCACUGGUAGAAUUCUCCCUUUUGAUGCAGGAGACCCAGGUUCAAUUCCCAGCCAGUGCA